UACAGAGGUGGCAAGCGUUGUUCGGAAUUACUGGGCGUAAAGGGCGCGUAGGCGGUCUUGUAAGUCUCGUGUGAAAUCCCUCGGCUUAACUGAGGAACUGCACGGGAUACUGCAUGACUUGAGAUCGGGAGAGGGAAGCGGAAUUCCGGGUGUAGCGGUGAAAUGCGUAGAUAUCCGGAGGAACACCGGUGGCGAAGGCGGCUUCCUGGACCGACACUGACGCUGAGGAGCGAAAGCGUGGGGAGCGAACAGG
Molecule: ribosomal RNA, 253 nt
Filed under: uncultured bacterium
Lineage: Bacteria
Description: partial 16S ribosomal RNA
Rfam family: Bacterial small subunit ribosomal RNA
Source: RNAcentral